This 317-nucleotide ribosomal RNA is filed under the name Habronattus pugillus. RNAcentral describes it as "partial 16S ribosomal RNA". The stretch from base 113 to 270 matches the Rfam family "Bacterial large subunit ribosomal RNA", at positions 2473 to 2632 of the family's 2925-position model. The record is from RNAcentral. Lineage: Eukaryota; Metazoa; Arthropoda; Arachnida; Araneae; Salticidae.
UAGACCCUAUCGAACUUAACUGUAGUUAAACUGGGSCAGUAAAUUAAUUAUUAUUUUAAUAAAAUAUUUUAUAUAAAUAUCUAAUAAAAUUAAAUAAUUCAGUUACCAUAGGGAUAACAGCGUAAUAAUUUUCUAAAGAUCUUAUUUUAAAUAUAGAUUACGACCUCGAUGUUGAAUUAAUAACCUAAUUAAGGCAAAACUUAAAAAAGGAAGUCUGUUCGACUUUUAAAAAAUUACAUGAUUUGAGUUCAGACCGGUGUAAGCCAGGUCGGUUUCUAUCUUCUAAAAAAUUUUUUACAGUACGAAAGGACCUAAAA